CUCCACGCUCUGGUGAUGACCCCACGUGCCCAUGAGUCUCCAUGAUUCUGGCUUCAAAGUAAACGCUCUGAAGACGUGGAGCCCAGA
This is a non-coding RNA of Erinaceus europaeus (western European hedgehog), 87 nucleotides long. Lineage: Eukaryota; Metazoa; Chordata; Mammalia; Eulipotyphla; Erinaceidae. The record is from Rfam.